Molecule: ribosomal RNA, 497 nt
Filed under: uncultured bacterium
Lineage: Bacteria
Description: partial 16S ribosomal RNA
Rfam family: Bacterial small subunit ribosomal RNA
Source: RNAcentral
GAUGAACGCUGGCGGCGUGCCUAAUACAUGCAAGUCGAGCGAACAGACGCGGAGCUUGCUCCUCUGACGUUUGCGGCGGACGGGUGAGUAACACGUGGAUACCCUACCUAUAAGACUGGGAUAACUUCGGGACAGCGGAGCUAAUACCGGAUAAUAUAUUGAACCGCAUGGUUCAAUAGUGAAAGACGGUUUUGCUGUCACUUAUAGAUGGAUCCGCGCCGCAUUAGCUAGUUGGUAAGGUAACGGCUUACCAAGGAGACGAUGGGUAGCCGAGCUGAGCGGGUGAUCGGCCACACUGGAACUGAGACACGGUCCAGACUCCUACGGGAGGCAGCAGUAGGGAAUCGUCCGCAAUGGGCGAAAGCCUGACGGAGCAACGCCGCGUGAGUGAUGAAGGUCUUCGGAUCGUAAAACUCUGUUAUUAGUGAAGAACAAAUGUGUAAGUAACUAUGCACGUCUUGACGGUACCUAAUCAGAAAGCCACGGCUAACUACGUG